This 1692-nucleotide long non-coding RNA is filed under the name Nicotiana tabacum (common tobacco). RNAcentral describes it as "long non-coding RNA (NTAB_LNC000582)". Lineage: Eukaryota; Viridiplantae; Streptophyta; Magnoliopsida; Solanales; Solanaceae. The record is from RNAcentral.
UGGAAAGUAUGUCAAGAAAAGGUUAAGUCAUAUGAAGAUGGAAAGUAUGAAGAUGAAAAGUAUGUCAAGUCACCUUAGCAUAAUGUCGUAGUGACGGCCAAUAUGUAUCCCCAAUAUUGCAGAAGUAAAAGUAUCAAAACAUAGUAAAACUAAUAAAAAAAAAAAGUAAAAAACGAAUAAUAUUAGGCAAUAAUAACUAAAUUAUCGUGCACAUGAUAAAACUAAGCAAAAUAAGCACAUAUUUUCAACCAAUAUAGCAAACAUUGGCUAGAGAACGGCCAAGUUAAUGAGCCAUUUGGGUUUUCCAAAAUUAGGGGAACGGCCGUAACGUUAGGUUUCAAUUAGACGUGACUUUUAGACUUUUAAUCAUUUACUAAGUUUUAAAUGAAAAUAAAUUAUGGGAAAAAGUAAAAAAAGAUAAAUAGCAUCCUAGCCAUAUGUGCCAAAUCAGCUAGUCUGGUUCGAUUCAAACUUUCCUAUCUUGUCCUUACACUACACUAUGUGUCAUAACCAGUUCAAAAUAUGCUUACAUAAAAAAGAAAAAGCCAAUUUAUGGUAAAACUAAAAUAUCCCUGGAACACAGCUAAAUUUCCUUGCAAUUAAUAGAAAAGAGUUUUUUUUGUUUUAAUGGUUCAAAAGAAUUCCCUUCUUCCCGACUUAUGUGAUAUUUCUUUUUAGCUCAUUCUAAAAAGAAUGACACUCUUUUAAAUUUAAAAAUAAUUAACUUUAUACUUUUUAUUUUUCUCACAACGAAAAGCUAUGAUAACCACAUAAAUGACAUGUUUAGAGCCACAAGUUUUACCAGUCUUCAUGUUUUUCUUACUCCAUUCAGAUUCAAAUUGUCACACAAAUUCAAACAGAGCGGGUAGCAGAUUAACUAAUCAUAACAGCGCAUGGCAAGCAUGCCUUGGUGUCUGUGGCACUGUAGGCCGCAAGGAUUUAUCAAAACGGGCUCAGCGGAUACCUUCGCCGAUUAUUUUUUAAUUUAAGCGGUUGGAUGAAUGGUUAUUUGACAUAAUUCUUCUAAGGAAAACUAAGAGAAACUACAGCAAUACAAAGAUAAAGUAGCACAAAAACAGACCCCAAGGCUGGAAGACGAAAGGCAUUAAAUGCAAAUAAAUUGAGUUUUUUGUCCAUUCAAGCCAAAGUACACACAUGAAUGCUGCAACAAUACGAAUCCUUAGAGCACAAAACAAACAAUUUAAAUUCCAAGGGUAGCUGGUAAGCAUGUUUAUCAUGAGGUGACUAGUUUUCAUUUUCAUUUAUAACAGGCAGAAGUAGAAAUGUAUAAAUAUAAUAAUGGAGAAAUUUGUCAAAAAGUUAUCCCUUUUCAUUUUACGCCAUCUCUGUCAUAUAAAGAUGGAAAAUAUGUCAACAACAGGUUAAUCACUUAAGACAUCACUAAUACAUUGGGUCCUCCCAUUUUUCGUCGUCAGAGCUCCAAACUUCCAUUAUACGCAAUCUCUAUCAUAUGAAGAUGGAAAGUAUGUCAGGAAAAGGUUAAGUCAUAUGAAGAUGGAAAGUAUGUCAGGAAAAGGUUAAGUCAUAUGAAGAUGGAAAGUAUGAAGAUGAAAAGUAUGUGUCAAAGUCACCUCAGCAUAACGUCCUAGUGACGGCCAAUAUAUAUGUACCCAAUAUUGGAACAACCUCAUAUCGAAUUUCAGCAGUAGAUAGGUAUUCAAGCUUUUCCAA